Molecule: long non-coding RNA, 3121 nt
Organism: Orcinus orca (killer whale)
Lineage: Eukaryota; Metazoa; Chordata; Mammalia; Artiodactyla; Delphinidae
Exons: 2
Source: RefSeq, a predicted model, not a curated record
GAGGUCCCUGCGGGGCGGGAGGGUCAGUCCGGUCGGACCUUCGUCCUUGACCCUAUGCUGAGGAGCCCCACAUCCCUCCUCCCAGUACUUACUGAGCGCCUUCUGUGUGCACUGUCCCAUGCCGGCCUCUGGGGAUGCCCAGGAACCAGAACAGGCCAGGCCACACUGGCCUCCGGGCUUUGGCUCCAACACCCCAGACAUGCUCCCACCACAGGGCCUUUGCACUGGCCAUGUCCUCUGCCUGGAGCACUCUCUCCAGACAUCUGCGGAUUAAGACCCUGUAUGCUGCAGACACCUAACCUUAAAUCUCAACGCCUCUCUUUCUCUCUGCUGAUGCGCGGCUCUCAGCAUCCAACACACUGCAUAGUUUAUUUCUCCUGUUUGUCAUUUUCUCCCACAAUAGAAAAUAGCUUUCUCCCACAAUAGAAAGUAGCUUCACUAGGGCUACUUUCUGUCCCUAUUUACGAGUGUCCCCAUUGCCCGAAACAGUGCCGAGCACAGAGUAGAUGCUCAGGAAAUGUGUGUGGGAUGAAUGAAUAAACACUGACAGAUUCCAUAAAGAGAUACUAAACUGAGUAAAGGACUUAUGGUCAGAGAGGACCUCUUUAAGGAGGUGACCCUGGAGCUGAAAUCUGCAGGAAGAUAAAGGGGAGAACUGGGGAAAGUUUUCCCAUGCAGAGUGCGCACAGCUGGUGCAAAAGCCUGAAGGUCAGAGGGAGAUUGGAGUGCAGCAUUGAUCAUAAAGGCCCUGCAGGGCCAUGGUAAGGAGUUUUUGAUUUUCUUUUCUGUAUGAGAGAGAGCCAGUGAAAAGCCAUCCACAGGAGACCCCCAGACCAAAUCUCCCAUCUAGGCCAAAGCCCCACACGGUCAUCAUGGAGUCAAGUAGGCUACCAGACUGGUCCCAUCACCCAUGAUUCUUAACUUCCACCCACGGGGUUCUUGGGUGGCCCUUUUCCAGGCCUCCUUACAGAGACACAUAGUAUUGAUACUUGCAAAAUCCCACAGGAGUAGGUUGCCAGACUUAGCAAUGAAAUACAGGACACCGUGUGUGAAUGAAUUUGAACUUCAUGUAAACAGCAAAUAACUUUUUAUAAGUAUGUCCCUGCAUCACGUGGGACACAGUUACAUACUCAAAAAUUCUUCAUUGUUUACAUGAAAUUUAUAUUCAACUGGGUGUCCUGUAUUUUAUCUGGCAACCCUGUGUGUGGGAGGGGUAGGGGGUGGGGACUCGCUCACUCUGUCUGGAUACUUGCCUGGGUGAAGGCUUUGUGGAGAGGACCCUGCCUCAAACAAGGUCAAUGUUUGGCUAUGAUCCCCUUACAGCUGGCAUUUCUUCCCCCAGGGGAGGGAAAUGUUCACCAUUUGGGAAAAAGAAUCUCCUCAGCUGCAGAAGGCUGUGGGAGUGAGCAAGUGUGCCAACUCUGAUAAUGUUGGGUGGGGAUGAAGGUCUCCAUGACCAGAAACUUCUAAGUUUUGUAACAAAAUUGAUGACAUCAGUAGAAUGGCACAAAGUCUGCAACUCACUUUGAAAUGGUUCAGCACAAACUCCACGUGCAUGGAGAUAAAGCAAAUGGCAAAAAUGCCCAAGGGUUUCAUUGUGUGCUCCUUCCAACUUUUUGGUAUCUUUGAAAUUUUUCUUUUAUUUUUCCUUUGGCCAUGCCACACGGCUUGCAGGAAACUUUUCAUAGUAAAAAAUUGGGGGUUAAAAAGAAUGAGGGACUUCCCUGGUGGCGCAGUGGUUAAGAAUCCGCCUACCAAUGCAGGGGACACGGGUUCAAGCCCUGGUCCGAGAAGAUCCCAUAUGCCGCGGAGCAACUAAGCCCGUGUGCCACGACUACUGAGCCUGUGCUCUAGAGCCUGUGUGCCACAACUACUGAAGCCCACGUGUCUAGAGCCCGUGCUCCGCAACAAGAGAAGCCACCGCAAUGAGAAGCCCGGGCACUAAAAUGAAGAGUAGCCCCCUGCUCGCCGCAGCUAGAGAAAACCCGUGCACAGCCACAAAAACCCAACACAGCCAAAAAUAAGGAAAUAAAAUAGAAAUAAAUUUAUAAAAUAAAUAAAUAAAAAGAAUGAAAGUCUCACUGUUGAAAAGGGGAAAGUCUGCAAAUAGCCACAAACGAUCACACUGUUUAUUGGGCAGCUCCUUGGACGGCUGGAACUCAACCAUCUCUCUCUCUCAGCUCCAGUGCCCUCCAUGGCUCCCAGCUACUCUGAGGAUCACAUCCACGCUCAUUAGGUGGGAUUUGGGGCGCUGCUCCACAUGCUGCCUUCUUACUCCUGGUCAUCCUCGAAGGGCAAGAAGAGCCACUUCUUGGGCAUGUCCCUGAGGAACAGGUCCUGCUGCUCCUCUGUCGAGUCCUGGGACACGUACACCAGAGCCAGCUGGGCUGCCCGCAACACGUAGAACUCAUCCGUGAGCCGCACAAAGAAGUCCUUGAGGAUGGGUGCAAAGGCCUGGCACUUCGGGCACGAGCCGGCACCAAAGAACAGCAGCACCAGUCGGUUUUCCAGCCGGCGGCUAAGCUCAGCCUCCGUGUCCAACUCAUCCUGGUCACUGUUGUUUCGGAUCAGGACACGGCCAGAGAACAGGCAGGCCAUGACAACCCUGGCUGGGUGCUGGGGACAGGGCGCAAGGACCUUGUGUGACCCCGAGCCUGCUGACUGGCUGCUGUCCCAGGAUUAGGAAUUUUUAGGAGGCCAGUUUAGAACCUCACUAAUCUGCCUAACCUCGACCUGAUUCUUUGCUGCCUCUGAGGGCAGGGGGUCAGCUGCUCAUGGGCCUGUCUCAGCAGACAGCUGCUAAGGCAUUAAAAAAACACGCUGACAUACUGGUGUGAAAAUAUUUUGUUAAAUUGUGAUGUAAAAAGAUACGUGCCUCUUCAUGAAUGCAUUCGGUAAUCCUAAACCACAGGGCUCGACUAAUUAAUAACAGUGAUUUCUAAGUCGAGAUGAGCAUAAAUGAUAUUUCAAGGUGUCUGCCUGCCAUGACCAGGAUGUCCUGUGAAAUUAUCUUUGAUUUACACGGGUGACAAAAUCACAGAGCUGGCCAAUAUCUGCUUUGAUAGGACAUGAGAAAACAGGCUAAAUUCCAGUUAGAAAUUAAUAAGAAUAAACUUUUUUU